GAGUAACGCUUCGGAAUCUGCCCAAUGGUGGGGAAUAACCAGCCGAAAGGUUGGCUAAUACCGCAUGAGCCCUUCGGGGGAAAGCGGGGGAUCGCAAGACCUCGCGCCGAUGGAUGAGCCGAAGCCGGAUUAGCUAGUUGGUAGGGUAACGGCCUACCAAGGCGACGAUCCGUAGCUGGUCUGAGAGGACGACCAGCCACACUGGGACUGAGACACGGCCCAGACUCCUACGGGAGGCAGCAGUGGGGAAUAUUGGACAAUGGGGGAAACCCUGAUCCAGCGACGCCGCGUGUGUGAAGAAGGCCUGCGGGUUGUAAAGCACUUUUAGUGGGGAUGAAAAGCUCAGGGCUAACACCUCUGGGUCUUGACCUAACCCACAGAAAAAGCACCGGCUAACUCUGUGCCAGCAGCCGCGGUAAUACAGAGGGUGCAAGCGUUAAUCGGAAUUACUGGGCGUAAAGCGUACGUAGACGGUUGGAUAAGUCGGAUGUGAAAGCCCCGGGCUCAACCUGGGAAUGGCAUUCGAGACUGUUCAGCUAGGGUGCGGAAGAGGGAAGCGGAAUUUCCGGUGUAGCGGUGAAAUGCGUAGAUAUCGGAAGGAACACCAGUGGCGAAAGCGGCUUCCUGGUCCAGCACCGACGUUCAGGUACGAAAGCAUGGGGAGCAAACAGGAUUAGAUACCCUGGUAGUCCAUGCCAUAAACGAUGA
Molecule: ribosomal RNA, 708 nt
Filed under: uncultured Gammaproteobacteria bacterium
Lineage: Bacteria; Pseudomonadati; Pseudomonadota; Gammaproteobacteria
Description: bacterial SSU rRNA
Rfam family: Bacterial small subunit ribosomal RNA
Source: RNAcentral